UACGGGGGGGGCAAGCGUUGUUCGGAAUUACUGGGCGUAAAGGGCUCGUAGGCGGCCAACUAAGUCAGACGUGAAAUCCCCAGGCUUAACUUGGGAACUGCGUCUGAUACUGGGAGGCUUGAGUGCGGGAGAGGGAUGUGGAAUUCCAGGUGUAGCGGUGAAAUGCGCAGAUAUCAGGAAGAACACCCGUGGCUAAGGCGGCUCUCUAGUACGGUACUGACGCUGAGACGCGAAAGCGUGGGGAGCGAACAGG
This 253-nucleotide ribosomal RNA is filed under the name uncultured bacterium. RNAcentral's name for it is "partial 16S ribosomal RNA". It matches the Rfam family "Bacterial small subunit ribosomal RNA", at positions 524 to 776 of the family's 1533-position model. The record is from RNAcentral.